CCAAUAGCGUAUAUUAAAGUUGUUGCAGUUAAAAAGCUCGUAGUUGAACUUCGGGGUUUACCCAUUGGUCAGGCUUAAUUGUCUGUACUGGUGAGAUAAAUCUCUACCUUCUGAGGAACUUUCAUGUCAUUAAUUUGGUGUGAUUGGAAAUCAGGACUGUUACUUUGAAAAAAUUAGAGUGUUUAUAUCAGGCUAACGUCUGAAUACAUUAGCAUGGAAUAAUGAAUAAGGACGGCUUGAUUCUAUUUCGUUGGUUUCUAGGAUCACCGUAAUGAUUAAUAGGGAUAGUUGGGGGCAUUAGUAUUCAAUUGUCAGGGGUGAAAUUCUUGGAUUUAUUGAAGACUAACUACUGCGAAAGCAUUUGCCAAGGAUGUUUUCAUUAAUCAAGAACGAAAGUUAGGGGAUCGAAGACGAUCAGAUACCGUCGUAGUCUUAACCAUAAACUAUGCCGACUAGGGAUCGGACGAAGUUAAUUUUAUAAUGACGCGUUCGGCACCUUACG
RNAcentral lists this ribosomal RNA (502 nucleotides) under uncultured Glomeromycotina. Its description in RNAcentral is "partial small subunit ribosomal RNA". It matches the Rfam family "Eukaryotic small subunit ribosomal RNA", at positions 591 to 1092 of the family's 1831-position model. Lineage: Eukaryota; Fungi; Glomeromycota. The record is from RNAcentral.